AGAGUUUGAUCAUGGCUCAGAUUGAACGCUGGCGGCAUGCUUUACACAUGCAAGUCGAACGGAGUGGGGGCAACCUCACUUCAGUGGCGGACGGGUGAGUAAUACAUCGGAACGUAUCCUGUAGUGGGGGACAACCCAGCGAAAGUUGGGCUAAUACCGCAUACGCUCUUUGGAGGAAAGUGGGGGACCGCGAGGCCUCAUGCUAGAGGGGCGGCCGAUGUCCGAUUAGCUAGUUGGUGGGGUAAAGGCCUACCAAGGCGACGAUCGGUAGCUGGUCUGAGAGGAUGAUCAGCCACACUGGGACUGAGACACGGCCCAGACUCCUACGGGAGGCAGCAGUGGGGAAUUUUGGACAAUGGGGGCAACCCUGAUCCAGCCAUGCCGCGUGCGGGAAGAAGGCCUUCGGGUUGUAAACCGCUUUUGUCCGGGAAGAAGGCUGCGUCGACAAACGCAGUUGUUGACGGUACCGGGAGAAUAAGCACCGGCUAACUCGUGCCAGCAGCCGCGGUAAUAC
This 514-nucleotide ribosomal RNA is filed under the name uncultured bacterium. RNAcentral's name for it is "bacterial SSU rRNA". It matches the Rfam family "Bacterial small subunit ribosomal RNA", at positions 8 to 526 of the family's 1533-position model. The record is from RNAcentral.